CUUAAUUACCUCUUUAAAGACCAUAUCUCCAAAUAUGGUCACAUUCUUCAGUACUGGGGGUUAGGAUUUCAGCGUGUGAAUUCUGUAGGAUGCAAUUCAACCUGGAACACCCCACAUCCAAUCUGUGAAUGAAUCCCAGCAGUUCCACCUUCACAACAUAUCGGGAACCCAGCCGCCUCUCCCCACCUUCCCUAUUGUCUUCCUGGUCUAAGCCAUUGCUGACUGCCAUCUGCACCAACCACACUUGCCUCCUAGCAGCCAACGGUGCCCCUGAAUUCCCUUCUCCAGGCUUGGUCUGCCUGAAGCUGAAAGUCAUCCUAGGAAGAGGGAAGAUGGUACCCCAGAUGCUGCAACCAGGAGUACCUGUCCUCCUCGUCACAAGGCCAGUCUCCAGGGAGUCUCUGUCAAAACAAGAGCAAGGCUCAGCUUGGGAUGGAGACGUGCCACCCAGUGCCCCAUUUCCUAGUUGGAUGUUUG
This 477-nucleotide long non-coding RNA is filed under the name Homo sapiens (human). RNAcentral's name for it is "HSALNT0071534". Lineage: Eukaryota; Metazoa; Chordata; Mammalia; Primates; Hominidae. The record is from RNAcentral.